RNAcentral lists this ribosomal RNA (460 nucleotides) under uncultured bacterium. Its description in RNAcentral is "partial 16S ribosomal RNA". It matches the Rfam family "Bacterial small subunit ribosomal RNA", at positions 338 to 795 of the family's 1533-position model. The record is from RNAcentral.
CCUACGGGCGGCAGCAGUAAGGAAUAUUGGUCAAUGGACGAGAGUCUGAACCAGCCAAGUAGCGUGAAGGAUGACUGCCCUAUGGGUUGUAAACUUCUUUUAUAUGGGAAUAAAAUGUUCCACGUGUGGGAUUUUGUAUGUACCAUAUGAAUAAGGAUCGGCUAACUCCGUGCCAGCAGCCGCGGUAAUACGGAGGAUCCGAGCGUUAUCCGGAUUUAUUGGGUUUAAAGGGAGCGUAGGUGGAUUGUUAAGUCAGUUGUGAAAGUUUGCGGCUCAACCGUAAAAUUGCAGUUGAAACUGGCAGUCUUGAGUACAGUAGAGGUGGGCGGAAUUCGUGGUGUAGCGGUGAAAUGCUUAGAUAUCACGAAGAACUCCGAUUGCGAAGGCAGUUCACUGGACUGCAACUGACACUGAGGCUCGAAAGUGUGGGUAUCAAACAGGAUUAGAGACCCCUGUAGUC